AUACCUUGGCUACAAUCACCAUCAGAACGAGUGAUCGAGUUUUCAAUGUUAAGGCUAUUUGGGGAAGACCCAUCUUCAUUUGAUUCCAUAUCAUGUUCUUGAGGAUUACUCUCAUAUGUGUCCCUUUGCGAGAUAUUUGAAUUAAUUUCAGGUUCUUGUUGCUUUAGCCUUUUCGAACUCCUCAAACUCUUCGAACUCUUCGGACUCUUCGAACUCUUAGAACUCUUACCUUUCUUUGACAUCUUCGAACUCUUCGAACUCUUGCUUUUCUCAAACUCUUCUAUACCGUAAUAUA
RNAcentral lists this long non-coding RNA (295 nucleotides) under Linum usitatissimum (flax). RNAcentral's name for it is "long non-coding RNA (LUSI_LNC006627)". Lineage: Eukaryota; Viridiplantae; Streptophyta; Magnoliopsida; Malpighiales; Linaceae. The record is from RNAcentral.